AUGAACUUGGGGAAAAUAAUUAAAAAAAAUAUAUUAAAAAAGGAAAAAAGAAAAAGCGGGAGACGCGACACGCGUGGUCGGGUCCAUUCCGAGCGCAGAGAGAAAGGCUGUGAGGGGCGGGGGCUCCGGGCAGGUACCGAGGCGGGGCGCUGGGGGGCCGCCCCAGCCCGCUCCAGUGGCCGAGCACCGCGGGGAGGCGGCGGCGAGCGGCAGCCGGGAGAGAGGGCACGGAGAGGCACGGGAGCGACCGGGCGCACCGUACCGCAAAGAAAGACCCGGAGGGAAAGUGGAAGUGCUACUGGAGGAGAGGCGGCUGUGCCUCGACUGCGUUUAUUCGAGGCAGUAUUUAUCUAAUGGUAUGGAGGCUGUGAACUUCAAAUGCCCAAAUCCAAGACCAGAAGCUCAGUGAAGCAAACUCCAAAUAUGGUUAGAAGCGAUUGCAUGUGCUGCUUUGGAAAAAUGGAUCAAGGGAAACCAGUAUAGCUACCGUGAGAUCCCCAAGAUAAGCUGGGACCUGAACUUAUAUCCUUGCCUUGCUCUUUGUCAGUGCAGACUGGGACUACCUGAGAUGCAGAUCCAGCUGAAUGGAUUUCUGCUGGUUGAAGAUUUAACUAGACAUUAAUGUGAUUAUAAAGUCUAUUUGUGAUAUAAAGCUUCACCUACUCAUAUUCAUGAUCUUCUGACAGCUAACAUGAACAUUUUCAAUUGUAGUUUAAUGAAGAAAACCCCUAACCACAGUAUACUUACUUAGUUGUCCUGCUGGGUAACAGAGUGUCAACAAGCUGGUGUGAAAAGGCUACAAAGGACUUAAGUCUGAAGCUGUUAAAUUCUUGUUAGUGCUUGCAACUGAACAGCAGCAAGAAAGAUACAAGGACAGCACGGGGGAUAGUGCAGAAAUAUGAGAGAUUAUGCUAUGGAACAGUUUUCCAACUUGUGCUGCCUCAGUGUUAGCAUUUGUGUAAAGGAGGCUCUAUGUCAGGUCAGGUUGUUUAGGUGUCACCAGCAAUGUGCCAGAGUUAGCAUCAGUAGCAGUUGCCAUCAGCUCCGUGUCAGAUCACGUGUGCAUUUCUGACUGCUUCCACCUCUACUGAAAGCCCUCCCACAGGAUUUGCAGGGCCAGAAAUAUGCAUUCUCAUGGGUACUCAGGGACAGUGAAUGGAAUAAACAUAGAAAACCUGAACCUGUAAGUUUGGCA
This 1195-nucleotide long non-coding RNA is filed under the name Phasianus colchicus (ring-necked pheasant). RNAcentral's name for it is "lncRNA (ENSPCLG00000021185.1)". Lineage: Eukaryota; Metazoa; Chordata; Aves; Galliformes; Phasianidae. The record is from RNAcentral.